Long non-coding RNA from Sciurus carolinensis (gray squirrel), 1209 nucleotides. RefSeq lists it as uncharacterized. The record is from RefSeq and is a predicted model, not a curated record. The transcript is spliced from 3 exons. Lineage: Eukaryota; Metazoa; Chordata; Mammalia; Rodentia; Sciuridae.
GAAGCUCACUCUCUACUCUGCGCUUGCCUCGCGUGCUUCUCUGUUGUUACACUUCAACACCUGAGGAAGCAGGACUCGCCACCAGUAAAUGGCGGUGUCAGAUUUGGAGGUCCCACCGAGAUCUACCCGAGACCGCCCAUCUCUCAAAUGACCCUCCAGCCUAUUGCUUCUCAACCAGACUUUUACUGUGGACUGCUCAAUCUACCUGAUUUCUAAAAGGGAACUCCAAACUGCUUGCCCCACACUGCCCCCUUCCAGCUCGAAGCAGCUCUAAGCAGCCCCCUUCUUAUUGCGCUUUUAAACUGAAGAGAAAUGCCUGAAGCAAGGGCUGUCAUAAUAUCAGCUGAAUGCGGGACAGGCGGCCAGAGGACGUGUGUCAUUAGCAUCAGCCUUCUAGGGGAUGCCUGCUGCUCAUUAUGUGUGGACACGAUUAGGCUCCACAGGGACCAUGCGCAGGAAAGAGCAAUCACAGGCUUCCCAAGCGAAUCUGUCUUCCCAAACAAAUCUACAGAAUUGCUCUGUUCACAGGAGGACUUCCAUUAUAGGUUUAUUGACUUUUGGGUAGAAGAAAUGAGUUCGAGGAAUGAUUACUAAAAAUUACCCAAAAAAUUUUAAGAUGCAGUUUCUGAUUAGAUGCCAGAAUGAAUUAUUGAUUAGAGGAAAUUAUUAACUGAUUUUAAAAAGAACAAACCUUUGUGAUGUUGGAGAAUGGAAUUUACGAAUUGGUUUUGCGGAUUAUUAAGUCAUGUAUUCCUUUCAUCUGGAUCUUCACGUCAUUAUGGGGUAUCAUUUUUUGACGAUGAAAGAUCCCAAAAAGUAAUGUGUUGAAAUAAAGUGGACUUAGAACGCACAUGUGCAAAAUCAUAGUUUUGGGCAAAAAUUACCUUCAAUAAUUUCAGGAGGGAAACCUGAACAAAAAUUCUCCCAUAGGCAAACAUUACCCUUUGUUAGUUGCAUAUUCAUGCCAACUUACUAAGCAAACAAUAGAGGAAACAAACCAUUUGGAGAAAUCAUUGGAUUAUCACUGGGUAACUUGAGCUGGUUUCCUUUUCCCUUGUAACACAGAUAGAAUCUUCCUCAUGGAUAGCAACAACGGAAUGGUUAAAAGCACACAAGAAAUCUGUGAUAUCACAAAAUCAGCUUGUCUCUUGUGAAGCAAUUAAAGCCCUCGAAAUUACUUCUGUAUCUGAACUGGUGCAAAAAGUGCCA